UUUCAGACAUCUCUAGGACAUCCAGUUUGAAAUGUCUGAUAAACAACUGUUGAUGUGGAAUUGAAGUUCAGGGAAGAUACUGAAAAUGGAUUUGUAAACGUGGAAGUUAUCAGCAUCGAAAUGGAUUUUUAAACGCAUAGGAACUGAUGAGGUCACCAAGGGAACAUAAAGGAAGAGGAAAAGGAGACUAGGUUAGAACCUUGGAGAACACCCACAGUUAAACUGUUCUUCCUAUUAAAGCCUGUUGGUUCAAGAUAAGGAAAACCACAAUCAUCACGGGGGACAGAGGAAGUGUUUAAAUUUAAUGAGCUAUCUCCAUUUUCCCAUCUGAACUAUAGAAAAACAUAGAUUUCAUCUUGGUCAUUUCUGCAAAUUAUACCCUUUUACCUUAAAUCUAUGUUUCUGCAGUACAAAAUGGGCAUAUGGGCUAGACAGGAGGAAUACAAAUUCUACCUUGUUCAGAGGCAACAAGGGCUAAGAUUAUCUUUUAUAUACUGUAACAGAAUUCAUUAAUGGGACAAAGGAACUAAAAAGGAAUUGCCAAAGAAAGUUAAGCUACUCUCAUAAAACUACUUUGUCUCAUUACAGAUAGGAAAGGGCCUAGCACAGUUUCUAUGUGUACCUAUGUUGUUUCUAAAAGAAGGAAAAGAGGCAAAACAGACAUUUCUUAAACAUUUAAAAUUGUUAAACUGAACUAAAUUGAAGUUGUUUAUCAAUGAUCAAAAAGUGAAACGGAUUAGAAAAGGGAGAGAUAUUUAAAAAACUAUUGCUAAAGAGAUUUCUAGGGAAGUAAAACUGAUGACUUUAAAUACUUGUUAGACUUCUACAAAUCCUUGAAAUUUAUGUAUACUACGGUGUGGUUUUAUUUUCUCAAGACAAACUUGAAGGGGGCAGCUAGGGGGCUCUGUGGAUGGAGAGCCAGGCCUGGAGAUGGGAGGUCCUUGAUUCAAAUCUGACCAGAGACACUUCCUAGCUGUGUGAACAUGGACAAGUCACUUAACCCCAACUGUCUAGUCCUUACCACUCUUUUGUCUUGGAAUUAAUACUUAGUAUUGAUUCUAAGACAGAAAGUAAGAGUUAUUUUAAAAAUUAAGGGGGGGGGGAGGGGAAAAGAGACUCUUGAAGAUUUGUGUAAGAGAAGGAAGUCAUGAUUAAUUUUAUUUUAGAGACUGGACCAAUAAUGAGACUACUGAAUAUCUCUUGCAAGGAAAUAAUAAUAAUCACUUCUACAUCUUCUAAAAGCUUCAGGUCCCUCAUCUAUCCAAGUGAGGAUAAUGAAAACUACAGCACCUGUAUCACAAGGUAUGUGGUGAGGAUCAAAGGAAAGGGUGUAUUAAGCACUUUAUAGGCUUUAAAGCACUAUAUAUUUAUGAACUAUUAUUACCAGCAAGACCUAGGAUCCUAGAUUUCACCCUGGAAGAGACUUUGGAGGUUAUCAAGGCCAACCCUUCAUUUUACAGAUGAGAAAACUCUGGCCAAGGAGAUGAAGAGACAGCCUGUCUGCAUGUAAGGCAGAAUUCAAAUCUUAGUCUUUUUGAUUUCAAGUCCAACCUUCUAAAUAGUGACAACAACCUGCAGUGUCCAUCCUUCUUUGUCCUAAUAUAAAAACUACAUUCUGCUAACUCA
Monodelphis domestica (gray short-tailed opossum) is the source of this 1626-nucleotide long non-coding RNA. RefSeq lists it as uncharacterized. NCBI's taxonomy places the organism in Eukaryota, Metazoa, Chordata, Mammalia, Didelphimorphia, Didelphidae. The record is from RefSeq and is a predicted model, not a curated record.